Molecule: long non-coding RNA, 245 nt
Filed under: Ricinus communis (castor bean)
Lineage: Eukaryota; Viridiplantae; Streptophyta; Magnoliopsida; Malpighiales; Euphorbiaceae
Description: long non-coding RNA (RCOM_LNC001893)
Source: RNAcentral
UGAAAAUUAGAAGAAAAACAAAAAAGCUGUAUCGAUUCUAAUUUUUGUUAUGAGCUGUUGAUUUUGCAAUGUGUGUGUUGGAAACGAUAAGGCGAUGGUUGGCGGUGGAGGUGGAGGUGGAGGUGAAGGAAGUGGAGGUGAUGGUGGAGGAGGUGGGUGUCUUUGGUGUUCUCACUCUAAAAGGAAAGGUUUUUUUUUAAGACACAGUUUUGUGUGUGUGUGUGUUUUUUUUGGUUUAUGUUUCU